UGCGAAAAAAAAACUGAUCGUCUUACAUUUGCGCAUUAGAUUCUUGAAAUUUGAAAGAAAGAAGUGGAAAGAGGGUCUCUUACAAUUCCCUAGUUGUACUUGAGCGCUUGUUGAGCCAUGCAUGGACCAGAGAGUAGUGUAGCAGGGAGCAUUUCAAAGUGAUAAGGAUGCUAUAUAUAUUAGUGAAAUGGAAAGCUUUCUCUAUAUAUUCCUCUUCCAUUUGAUUUUCUCGAUCUGCUGAAGUGCAUAUAUGCUUGGGAACCCUUUAUUCAUUGCGUAUGCUUUUCCACCUCCCUUAAUUAUAUUCUUCUUUUUGAUUCCUUCCUACAAAUGUGUUUUCGAUCGAGUUAAAGUCGUAUCAAUAAAAGAUGGUUAUGUUAACUUUCCUGACUACCCAUCACAAUUAAUAUUGAUUUGGGAGAUUAAUUGAAUUUGUUACCGGAUAUAUUUGGUCCAUUAUUCAUUCCGAUUUGGCUAACAAGCCCUUCAUUUUCUCAUAUGGUGACGACUUUGACAAUAGGAAAUUGUGAAACUGCCAAUACUCAAAUUUCUUUCUAUCUAGGGCAUGGCUAGCUUGCGUUGGUCACGAGUUUUGUGGACACGGUUCAACAUAAUGUUUUAGAUCCUCGAGGAAUUUGAGUUUCGUGAAUAUGAAGGAGUGCUGGAGUCCUUGCAAAAGAGUCCGUCUAUUUUUUGCUUUAUUUUUUCAUACAUUUUUUAACAUCUUUAAAUUUUUUUUAAAAAAAAAUUCACUUUCUUAAUCUCUAAAGAAAAAACAAAAAUGGGAACAUACUAUGGAGACCCAACUCUCGGUGGGUUAGCAUUUCUCCUUUCGAAAUGUUUCCAUUAAUUCUACAUCACUUUUCCUGGAUUACGUGUCCGAAGCUAUUGGGAAAGUUACCAAAGAGACUUCCUUUACUAAAAAGUGUUGAGAUAAAUGACUGUGGACAGUUGGUGGUUUCAGUUUCAAGCUUUCCAGAUCAAUGCAAAAUAGUAAUUGAUAGAUCCGAAGGGGUGGUGUGCGGAAGUAAUUUGGUUAUAACCAGAAGGAUUUGAUUCUGUUCGUACAAUCUCUUAACUCACUUGUAGAAUAGAAGGAUUUGAUGUGGAGGGGCUAGCAAAGUUAGAAGAUCUCUGAUUCUCUGAUCCAAAGGUCCUUUGAAUGUUGAAUGGUGGCAUUGGAGAGAUCCCAUCACUACUAUUGCUUGCUGCAACUCUGGUUGGUUGAAGGAGGACAAAAAGUUAUAAACCAGCCAGCAAUGGAUGCCAUAUAUUUGCUGUCUUCACAAUGGCUGGAUCCUGGAUUCUUCUCUAAAUCAACAUACUCGAUCUUCUAAAAUUGCAGCAGCAAGUUGUUAUUAAUGUUGGCAUGCCAAGUCUUUCUUUGUGGUUUUGCUAUUCAUAUCCACAUAAUCAUUGUCAGGCUAUAAGCGACACCUUUUCAUGGUAAUAUUUUGGAGGCCCAAUGCUUAUACUUAAGAGCUGUCAAGAAGCUGCUUAAAACGUUCACUUUUUCUUUUUCCCCUGUUGAUGCAAUUUGUCAUUUAUUUUAUCUAAUUGUAAAUUUGUAAUGAAUCAAAGUAAUCCCAUUUUCAUGUUGAAGUACAAACUUUA
This is a long non-coding RNA of Carya illinoinensis, 1614 nucleotides long. RefSeq lists it as uncharacterized. The transcript is spliced from 2 exons. Lineage: Eukaryota; Viridiplantae; Streptophyta; Magnoliopsida; Fagales; Juglandaceae. The record is from RefSeq and is a predicted model, not a curated record.